Molecule: long non-coding RNA, 556 nt
Filed under: Brachypodium distachyon (stiff brome)
Lineage: Eukaryota; Viridiplantae; Streptophyta; Magnoliopsida; Poales; Poaceae
Description: long non-coding RNA (BDIS_LNC001541)
Source: RNAcentral
CAAUCCUUCUUUACAAGUGUUUUGAUCUAACGUAACGUAGGUCAUUAAUGCUCUAAACCCCCUACAAGUGAUUUAAUCCGAGGAAAACAACGGUUGUACAUAAAAAAAAUCAUAUAAUUUGAUAUGUCUGCUACGUAAAUAAAAAUUACCACUAUGCUAUAAUCGUUCAGAAACGUUAGAAAUGCAAUAAGAGAAGCCAAUCGAUUCAUUCUUCCUCUUCCUAGCAAUCCCAUGAAGGGAGUGAGGCCAUAACUGUGUCCCACUAAAAUUUGCACUCUUGCAUAUUCCAACUAAACGUCUAAACAUAUCUUUACUCGUGGCAGAGUCACGAUUCUAUUAAGGCCCGGGCUAUUGCUUCAAAUCAAUUGAAAUUGCCAAAAAAAAUAAAAUCCAAACCAAUCUCCAAAUCACCAAAACUGCGAAAGGAAAAGAAAUCCACUCGCUAAUUAAGCCGCGACCCGGGCUGCUCGGGGCAUAAUACCUUUGAUCAGGAGGUACUGUAAUACUGGUCCAGUUGGAUUAUUCGAUCAAUUGGGUAUCUAUCUGGUACAACAGC